AAGACUAUACUUUCAGGGAUCGUUUCUAUAGUUCGUUACUAGAGAACUUCCUUUGAACAUGUAGAGCACUGGAAACCACGAGGAUAAGGCACAGCGUUUUCUCCUGAGCAUGAAGCCAGCUCUUAGUGCUGCUUUGCUGUGGCUGAAUUGGCCAUUGAUGACUGUUCUUCUCCUCCUCUGAGAGAGUGGAGGAAGAGGACGCAGUCUGAGUGAA
Molecule: small nucleolar RNA, 214 nt
Filed under: Carlito syrichta (Philippine tarsier)
Lineage: Eukaryota; Metazoa; Chordata; Mammalia; Primates; Tarsiidae
Description: Small nucleolar RNA U3 (ENSTSYG00000019677.2)
Rfam family: Small nucleolar RNA U3
About the family: Small nucleolar RNAs (snoRNAs) are involved in the processing and modification of rRNA in the nucleolus. There are two main classes of snoRNAs: the box C/D class, and the box H/ACA class. U3 snoRNA is a member of the box C/D class.
Source: RNAcentral